Psammomys obesus (fat sand rat) is the source of this 690-nucleotide long non-coding RNA. RefSeq lists it as uncharacterized. Lineage: Eukaryota; Metazoa; Chordata; Mammalia; Rodentia; Muridae. The transcript has 3 exons. The record is from RefSeq and is a predicted model, not a curated record.
GGAAGCGGGGGCGGGGUGGCGCAGGAAGAGCGAGCGCGGGCUGUGGGCGGUGCGGGUGGCGCCGGCGUGAGCGCGCGUGGAGGCGGCACUCGGGGGGCAGCGGUCGGGGCCGCGGGCCCUCGAGGGGACGGUCCCGCAGGAGUGCGGUAAAGGAGCCGGUGGCUCCCGCACUAUUGCAGGGGAGCAGCAGCCUGAUAGCUAGAAAAUUAUGGCCCAAGGGUGGGCUUGCACCCACUUCUGUCCUUCAGGCAGAGGAAGCCGCUGUCAAGGUGGACCUGUUGUCAUUGGCUCUUCUUGCAUCUUCCCAGGAGGAACAGUGACAAGUGUCACCCAGGAUGGUGACGGCCGCCCUCCCAGACCUUCUGCCGCUCUUACAAUGUGCUGAGUCGCCUUGAACAUGUCUGAAGGUGUUUUCAGGUCGUGGCAGAGGAAAUUGUUCUCCAUACCCUGAAGUCAAAAGACACCCAGCCCUGAGCCCUGGGGAGCUCCACCGUGUCCUGGCCCACCACACCGCCGUCCCCGGCUGGUCCUCCUGGAGCGAGAAGCCCAGACUUGUGUGCCGCCUCACACGCUCACAGAUGGCUUCCCUGCCCAGGGCUGGCUGCUGCUAAUUUUGGCUGUUGGAGGCUCCGUGUGUGCUCUCUCUUUUUUUAAUUCCAUGUUUAUUUAAAGCCAGAUUUUGAAAUCUUG